ACCGCAUUCUGAAAGCAAUUCCUCCGUCAUUGUUGCCCGUUACGUGACAUCGUCGCUAGAGGAGCCGGAAGCACUCAACGACGCUUUCUACCGUGGACUGUUACAUCGGUAGCUAGCGCGCAAUCAUACGUAUUGACUGACGUUAUUACACUUGGCCGACGUGGUCAAGUGUAAAUUCCGUCACGUGAUGUAAUAAGUUUGCAAAGUCGUAUGGGGGGAAAGUGAUUUUUCGAUCGCACUUUCGUUCCACGCUGUGGAAGAGAAAGAGAAACGGGUAAAACGCGAUGGAAACUAGUUCGUGGAUUUUUUUUUCUUUUUUUUUUUUUUCUAUCCCACCAUCAAGUGGAAUUAAACGCAGGUGAAAACCAGUUCGGUUUAUCUUUUCUUAUCUUACAAUUGGAACGAAUCGAUCUGUGCGGUUUCGAGCAUUGAACUUGAUUAUUUUAUUGCACAUGGUUGAACGCAAUCAAAACCAAACGUUUAUUGCAAUAUAUUACUUUUCAUGGGAAAAACGUAAUAGCAUAUUUUAUUUUCUACUAAAUAAGCUAAUAAAUAUGCUUUUCCUUUGCGGAAAAGAAGAAAAUAUAAUAUUUUGAAUCACUUCGAGGAUGAAUAUAUUCUUUUACGUAAGAUAAAUGAAAUCUGCUAUUUUCAGAUAUAAGAAAAUAACGUACAAUAAAAUUAAAAAUAGGAAAAUAACAAAAUUAUAUUUCUAAUGAAAUCCAAAAUAUUAUUUAAUUCGAAUUUUCAAAAUUUCAAAAAAUAAAAUAAUAAUAAUAAAAAAAAUUUUAAUACUCUUAUUUCAACAUCAAAAACUGUUACAAAAUUUUGUAAAAAUUACUUAUUUACAACUUUCUAUUAUAAUUUAUACUCUAAAUAUAUCGAAAAAUAAUAUUUUCAAUGUUAACAAAUACUUAUGUGUUGUAAUUAUUUUUAAGUUUAUUUUUUGCAAAUAGAAAAUAAAAGAAAAGAAAUUCA
This is a long non-coding RNA of Apis cerana (Asiatic honeybee), 978 nucleotides long. RefSeq lists it as uncharacterized. The record is from RefSeq and is a predicted model, not a curated record. NCBI's taxonomy places the organism in Eukaryota, Metazoa, Arthropoda, Insecta, Hymenoptera, Apidae.